GGUUUCAUCCAUCGUCAGUCAUACCAGCAAGGACAAGUGCAGAAAAAUGGUGAAAUUCCUUAAGCCAAACAAAGCUGUAGUGGUUCUCCAAGGCAAGUACGCCGGGAGGAAAGCGGUGAUUGUUCGAGCAUUCGACGAUGGGACACGUGACAGGCCAUACGGACAUUGUUUAGUCGCCGGCGUAGCUAAGUACCCGAAGAAAGUGAUCCGUAAGGACUCUGCGAAAAAGCAGGCGAAGAAGUCACGCGUAAAGACUUUCAUCAAGCUUGUCAAUUACAACCACAUCAUGCCUACUCGUUACACCCUGGAUGUUGAUUUGAAGGAAGCCGUUACAGUCGAUUGCCUUCAGUCACGUGAUAAGAAGGUUACUGCUGCUAAGGAGGCUAAAGCUAAGUUUGAAGAGCGAUUCAAAACUGGGAAAAAUCGCUGGUUCUUCACUAAGCUUAGAUUUUGAGUGGUUUGCUCUUAAUUUGGUAACUUUCUGUUCUGGAUAUUCAGAAUAUUUGCUCUGUUUUGUUCUUGUUCAAACAACUUUUAAUUUGAAAUGAUAGAUCUGGUUUUAUCUUUUAUGAUU
RNAcentral lists this unclassified non-coding RNA (574 nucleotides) under Hevea brasiliensis (rubber tree). The record is from RNAcentral. Lineage: Eukaryota; Viridiplantae; Streptophyta; Magnoliopsida; Malpighiales; Euphorbiaceae.